Molecule: ribosomal RNA, 527 nt
Filed under: uncultured Actinomycetes bacterium
Lineage: Bacteria; Bacillati; Actinomycetota; Actinomycetes
Description: bacterial SSU rRNA
Rfam family: Bacterial small subunit ribosomal RNA
Source: RNAcentral
AGAGUUUGAUCAUGGCUCAGGACGAACGCUGGCGGCGCGCUUAACACAUGCAAGUCGAGCGAGAACCGGGGCUUCGGCUCCGGGGACAGCGGCGAACGGGUGAGUAACACGUGGAUAACCUGCCCUCGGCACCGGGAUAGCCCGGGGAAACCCGGAUUAAUACCGGAUGGCCCUUCCGGCUUUCGAGCCGGUCGGAAAAGGUAGCUUCGGCCUCCGGCCGAGGAUGGGUCCGCGGCGGAUUAGCUUGUUGGUGGGGUAACGGCCUACCAAGGCUUCGAUCCGUAGCUGGUCUGAGAGGACGAUCAGCCACACUGGGACUGAGACACGGCCCAGACUCCUACGGGAGGCAGCAGUGGGGAAUCUUGCGCAAUGGGCGAAAGCCUGACGCAGCGACGCCGCGUGAGGGAGGAAGGCCUUCGGGUUGUAAACCUCUUUCAGGAGGGACGAAGCUACUCGGGUUAAUAGCCCAGAGGGUGACGGUACCUCCAGAAGAAGCCCCGGCUAACUACGUGCCAGCAGCCGCGGUA